RNAcentral lists this ribosomal RNA (413 nucleotides) under uncultured microorganism. RNAcentral's name for it is "bacterial SSU rRNA". It matches the Rfam family "Bacterial small subunit ribosomal RNA", at positions 9 to 417 of the family's 1533-position model. The record is from RNAcentral.
GAGUUUGAUCGUGGCUCAGAUUGAACGCUGGCGGCAUGCCUUACACAUGCAAGUCGAACGGCAGCAUGAUCUAGCUUGCUAGAUUGAUGGCGAGUGGCGAACGGGUGAGUAAUACAUCGGAACGUGGCCUGUAGUGGGGGAUAACUAGUCGAAAGAUUAGCUAAUACCGCAUACGACCUGAGGGUGAAAGUGGGGGGACCGCAAGGCCUCAUGCUAUAGGAGCGGCCGAUGUCUGAUUAGCUAGUUGGUGGGGUAAAGGCCCACCAAGGCGACGAUCAGUAGCUGGUCUGAGAGGACGAUCAGCCACACUGGGACUGAGACACGGCCCAGACUCCUACGGGAGGCAGCAGUGGGGAAUUUUGGACAAUGGGGGCAACCCUGAUCCAGCAAUGCCGCGUGUGUGAAGAAGGCCU